This is a long non-coding RNA of Xenopus tropicalis (tropical clawed frog), 319 nucleotides long. RefSeq lists it as uncharacterized. NCBI's taxonomy places the organism in Eukaryota, Metazoa, Chordata, Amphibia, Anura, Pipidae. The record is from RefSeq and is a predicted model, not a curated record. The transcript has 3 exons.
AGUAGAAAUGAAGUUAUGGGAAAACACUUGAAUCAUUCUGGAGGGAUGGUAACAACAUCCUUGUAUUUCUUGGGAUAGAAUUCAGUGAAAUGACUCGCUGGAAAUAGUAUGAGCUACUUAUGCUGAUCGAUGACUGCAUUGGUGCUUGAACAUUUACCGAGCAACCAGACACAAGCAGUCUGCUAACAGGUUUUAGGUGGAGAGCUAUUGGAUUCGGAAUUGACGCUGAAAAAACGAAUAAUACAUUUUGGAUUCCAGAGGUUCCUCCCACUAACUGGUCCCCUCCUAUUCAUAUUCCAGUCUCUCAUUCAAAUCAGUG